UACGUGAGGUGGCAAGCGUUGUCCGGAAUUAUUGGGCGUAAAGCGCGCGCAGGCGGCCUCUUAAGUCUGAUGUGAAAGCCCCCGGCUCAACCGGGGAGGGCCAUUGGAAACUGGGAGGCUUGAGUAUAGGAGAGAAGAGUGGAAUUCCACGUGUAGCGGUGAAAUGGCGUAGAGAUGUGAGGAACACCAGUGGCGAAGGCGACGUCUUUGGCCUAAUAACUGACGUGAGGCGCGAAAGCGUGGGGAGCAAACAGGAUUGAGAAACCCGU
This 269-nucleotide ribosomal RNA is filed under the name uncultured bacterium. RNAcentral describes it as "partial 16S ribosomal RNA". It matches the Rfam family "Bacterial small subunit ribosomal RNA", at positions 524 to 790 of the family's 1533-position model. The record is from RNAcentral.